UUAAGCUUGCUUGUUCCCGGCUGCAGUGGCUGCCUUGCGGUAUGGGACGAGCGGGGCCCGAGCGGGCGGAAAUUUGAGAGUGUCAUGAGCAGUCUCUUAGUGCCCUUCAUAAGGGCAGUAUCUGUGUUUGAAAUAAGUUGAACCUUCAGCAGUUGGACUCACAUAGAGCAUUGUCUCCUCCACUGAGGUCCAUUCUGAAACAAGGAUUCUCCUUGGAACUCCAGGGACAGAACUUCCUGUAAACAUCUGGACUGUCCCCCCUGUGUGACCCAGAUGAAAAAAGAUGACCAAGGGCUUUCAGCCUCACUUAUGGGAGAGAGUGGAGUUGGGGGUAAGAGGAGUCCAAACAGAGAUUCUUAUAAUUUUCUGCAAAGAGGAAGCUUUGGAAACUGACUAAGAAUCUGUGUAAACAUAGUGAGUAAACAUGCAGACCAUUUCUCAGAACAAAAUGUGUGGACAGGGUUCCUCUGUUCUGUGGAUCCAAAGUGCCUCAUGAUGCUAAGGCAAGGUGGAUGGUGGAGACUUAGAAUGAACACAGACAUUUUCCAGGGGAAUAUUUUAACUUCCAGCCAAUCCUUUUCUUUUUAGGAUUUAACAUCAAUAUGAUCAUUUUCACUUUACAGAUGAAUGAAUUCAGGUGCAGACAUUGUGGCUCUCAGGUUUGCCCCAUGCAUCUGUGCUAAAGCCGGGGGAUGGCCCUCACCUCUCAGCAUUACCAAAUGAGCUUUCAGGCUAAUGCACUCUGAACUGGCAUCGUCUCCCAGUUGUGAGUGCUUUGAAAUAAAACAGAAGCUAUGCUACAGCUGAACAAUUCAAAUCAUUGGCAGAAAGUGUGGUAGGUAAAUGGCACUAUGAAAAAUGAAAAGCAUCUUGUUUCCUGUGAACUAAAAAUGGAUAGGUCCAAUUAUUGCCCCUUCCACACAUGAAGACUGCACAAAGUUAGUUAAUUAUAAAUAAUUCAUCCAACCAUAGAAGGGAUGAGCUAUAUGUUAUAUUACUGAGCUUUAAAAAUCUUUAUGAGUGUAGCAAGAGACACAUAUACCAACAGCUGCUAAAUUCAGAAUCCUGGGGCAGUAUCUUAUUUUAAUAUAAGGGAAGAACCACACAGUCUAUCGCUCUAGGGAUUUCCUGCUAUAUAAAAAGACCUUAAAUCUACAUGAGAUUUUACUCGUGAUUUCAAAGCACUUAAUAAAAAGCUGUUUUGUUUUGUUUUUUAAUUUGAAUAUCUUUUAACUCUACCCCCAGCCACCCUAUUUACAACACAGAUAAUGCUUUCUGGACUAGAUUGCCCAAGGCAGAGGCUUCCUUUUUUCCUCCUGCCUAUUUCCUUCUUUACUUUUUUCUUUUCUUUUCUUUUCUCAUCCUUUCUUUUGUUAAAUUCUUCAACACCUAGCUCAGAGCCCAGCACUUUGUGUUGUGUGUGCAUUGACCGUUGAGCAUGAAUGAUCACCCUCACUGCCAGAAGAGUAAAAAGUCAUAAACAUCGGAGUGGGUUGCUGAGCUCUGAGCAGAAUCAGAAGCUCUAGUUCUCCCAGUGGCUCUGCGGAACUUCUGCCUACUGCACAAUCAGGAGUUGGAGCUGUGUCUUGGGGUGACUUAAUUCAAGUAAAACCUCAGACUGGGAUGUCAGCCAGCAUUCUAAGGAGAACUUCUGUAAGAAUGUUAUGUCUUAAAAUACGUAAAUUCAAGUUCUGAGCCUUAGAACAUAAGGCAAAUAGUACCUUGCCUUACAGAAGGAUAAAGUACAAGCAAUAAAACAAGCCAAGUUGCUGCCUAAAGUCCCUUGACUGAAAUCAUAUUUGUCCAUGAUCUCUUAUUUUGGUGGACCUUUAAUAACUGGGACAAGGAUAUUGAAGAACUAAUUGCUGUGCAUUCAGCAACUGACUGUGCGUGGGUCUGCAAGGCAUGCAACCCAUGCUUGUGCAGAACCUGGAAACUUGAAUCUGGGGAAGACUUAGUUUUUCAAACUCUUGCCAUAGCCCUUCCUUGAUAGGGUUUUACCUAUGAGAGCUCAGAUGCAGAUUUCUUGAGCCACUUAAUCAAGGCCAGAUGUAUACUCUAUUCAUCCACUAGCACUGUUAGGAUGAGUUUUGCCCCAGAGUUUGGGGAGAGAUAAGCAGCUGUGAUUGUACAGAAACAGACACCAAACUUAAGCUGAAAAUUUUACUGCACAAUUGGCCAGCAGUAGUAGGCCACACCAAUAAUAAAGACAAAACCACCAAUUUAAAGCAGCAGUAGAAUCUGGGAAAUGCUCUUUCUGCAAUUGCUUUGAAUACAAAACAUCUCAGAAUUACAGGGAUUUUGCCUGCAGAGUUGCUAAUGAAGAUGUGGCUGGCAGUGUCCCUCGAGUUUGUUUAUCCAGCUGUACAAGAGUCUGUAUGACAGUAACUGGAUUUAUAAAAAUUUAAAAAUACCAAAGCCAACUUCUGAAGAAAGAAGUUUCCCCUAAGUCCACUAAAACCUUGUAUUUAUAAAUGAGAAGCUUUAUUGCUACCACAUCUGCUUAUGUAUAGGUGUGCUUUUACUUGAAAGAAAAUUGUAGACAAGGUGAAACUUAAAAGGGGAGAACAAGAUGGGCCCUUCUUCUUCCUCCCCCUCCCUGUACCAGAGGUCAACUAUGGGGUGGGGGAUAAUUUUGCCCCUCAGGGGACAUUUGGCAGGGUCUGUAAUUUUGAUUUUGAUUGUUACAUUGUGGGAUGAGGAACUGCUGGCAUCUAGAGGCCUGGAACACUCUUCAGCAUCCUAGACUGCACUAGACUGCACUAGACUGCCCCUAACCCCAAACAAAGAAUUUCCAGCCCAGAAUGUCAGUACUACAUUCUGCCCUAGCCCACUGACUCCAAAAAUUGAGUAUGUGCAAAUUGUUGGUAGUUGUUUAAAUCAGAUCUUGAAUUCUCCCCUGGUUUUUCAAUCAGCUUUUGGCCAUUAGUUCCAGAGACAGCUGUUACCAGAUUUGUUCACACAGGGCCUUCUGUUUAGCAGAUCUUGGGUCAUUUAUCUUCCCUUGACCAAAGACACCACUAAACCUAGCUAUUUCACCUCAAAUGAAAGCCUAGGCUAGGUUUCCAGGUACAACUGGCAAUAAAUCAAUGACUACAAAACAGUAAGGGGAAAAUGUGACUUUAGGGUUAUCAGAAAUCCCCUGCCAAUGUUAAAAAAAUCAUAACCCUUCACAAACACACAAACCCCUCAAACGUUUUUUUUAAUUAGCUGAGUUUUUUUCCCUUUAGGACAAUGUUUUUCAAAUUAAAAUCCUGAACCCUCCAGUAUCAGAAAGACCAAGGUGUUAUUAAAAAUGUCAGUUUCUCAAAUCUGUCCGAACCCUCUGGAUUGAGAAUUCUCGAGUGUAUGAAUUUGGUAAUCUCCGCCUUUAAAAUGCACCUGAGGUACACACCAAAUUUUGAGUUACUGUUCUAAGGCAAGGAUUCUCAUUCUUUUCUUCCCUACACAACUGUGUGUGUGACUUUGGGGGUCUCUUUGGAUGUGUACCCAAAACAUCCCCAGGCUGACAGGAGCACAGAGACCAACGGGAUAGAAGUUGGUGUUGUAGAAUAACCCAGAGACAUGUGGGUAACUAUUUCACAGCUAGUUUAAUUAUUUUAUAUGCUAAUUGUUUAUUCACACCUGAGAGGGUGAGGCAAAUAGUAUUUCUAAAACAAAAAGGAAAGAAAAGACAAUCUAGUAACGGUGGAACUUGUAUUACAUGUUUUGGGGGCAAAUUGAUUUAAGUGAAAGGUAGCAGAGAAGUUUGUACUGGGGCCUUGAGUGGCCAACUGCAAUUCUUUAUGGAUUCCCCAGAAAGCAGCUGGGAGCUGGGAGCAGAUGUGACAGGCCAUCCCU
Molecule: long non-coding RNA, 3840 nt
Filed under: Sus scrofa (pig)
Lineage: Eukaryota; Metazoa; Chordata; Mammalia; Artiodactyla; Suidae
Description: lncRNA (ENSSSCG00040074618.1)
Source: RNAcentral